CGAUAUAACGGAGGCAUCUUAUACAAGAACAUUGUAUAAUUUUUCAGAGCGACAUUGAGAUGCAGGUCAAAGAAACCAGUCUUAGAGACAAAGCCAGAGGAAAUGAAGUCAAACGUACGUACACGAUAGGAGCACUAGAGGGUGAAAUAUGGCGGCAAGGUUGGGCGGUGUACGGGUCAAGGAUAGGAGAUGGCUCGGAAUAAAACGACUCUUCGUACUACCCUAACGCAAUUUUCUCUUCUUUCGACCCUCUCGAACUGCGCACUCAUAACUCGGUAAAGUGAAAUAUCUGGAAAAGUCUGUUUCGUUUCAUGUUCUCCGAGCCGAUUGUUUUUUUUCCUUCCACUUUUCAUUCGUCGCAGAAAAGCUUUUAAAUUCUUGACCAAAUGAUUUAAACGCUUAUGCUUUAGAAAUAGAUUUCGCGGUUUAUAUUGUUUCGCUCGCAAAAUGAUUAAUGCUUUUUUCUACUCUUAUAAAAUUUUUCUAUCGAGAUUUACAUUUGUCAAGAAAUGAAAUAACUCAGAGUUAAACGCCAAUACUUCAAGACCGUCAAGCUGCGGACUUUUAUUGGCUGUUUUAUCGUGACAUGUAUUCAAUUUUCUUCACGCGGACAAAUACUACCCACGAUAAUCGAUAAGAUAGCAAGUAAAAGUUUCCUAGAAACAUCGAUAACGGUAUUGUGAUGAUCGACAUAUUGCUCAAUGUAAAAGGUUGAGAUAGGAAAACAUCCCUUUCCACUCAUAUUUCACAUCUUGAAUACAAUCUAUAUAUAGUAUUUGGCCAUAGUAUCCCGAGACUAGAAUACAAUGAAGAACCUAUUUAUUGCACGAUAAACGCGAUAUUAUAUUAGAGAGCCCACUGAAGCUAGCCAGCCAGGAGAUUAACAAAAAAGAGGGAAUGGCACGAAAGGAAGAAGUAGAAAAUUACUCGCUGGUUCCGGCGAAAUUGAAGCGCGAACUUCGUCGACCAACCCACACAUGAUGCCCCUAUUCUCGCCGUCAUACAUUCGUUGCCUUUGUCUCCAGAAACUGAUGCAGUAUCACAUGUGUAAAAGUAAUAUCUGGUAUGCGAGUACGAGUCAAAGGGGUUCCCCACGUUUGAAUUAUAAGGCCUGGGUGGGUUAAACGCGCGAGCGCGCUCGAGAGCAAGGUCGGAAGAGAAACUGAAGGGAUGAGGAGCGAGAGAAAGUGCGAGAGGAAGAGAAUAUCGCGUCGCGAGAAUAUGAAGCGGACUGCAUGUAUAUCUGCGCGUAUAUGCGCGUGUCGGCGACAGAGGGUUGAUAAACGCCUCUCCCGGCAACCACCCGCCCUCAACCCAACAGUCUUCCCUCGCAAUCAUCUCACCGUCGCAGUAUUCAUAAACUACUCAGACAAUGUCGGAAACUUUACGUCGCGGACCGGCGAUGCUCUGAUACGAAAUAAUAGCCACCGCAUAGUAAUGAAGAUCACGAAUCUGACCUAUGCUACGAGUCUAUAUAAAAGGAUUUCUCUCUGUAC
Long non-coding RNA from Camponotus floridanus (Florida carpenter ant), 1496 nucleotides. RefSeq lists it as uncharacterized. The record is from RefSeq and is a predicted model, not a curated record. The transcript has 3 exons. Lineage: Eukaryota; Metazoa; Arthropoda; Insecta; Hymenoptera; Formicidae.